GCGUUCAUAGUGUAGCGGUUGAUCACGUUGCUUUCCCACGCGGAUUAAGCAGAGGCCGCGGGUUCGAUCCCCGCUGGACGCA
This 82-nucleotide transfer RNA is filed under the name Kalmanozyma brasiliensis GHG001. It matches the Rfam family "tRNA". Rfam says of the family: Transfer RNA (tRNA) molecules are approximately 80 nucleotides in length. Their secondary structure includes four short double-helical elements and three loops (D, anti-codon, and T loops). Lineage: Eukaryota; Fungi; Basidiomycota; Ustilaginomycetes; Ustilaginales. The record is from Rfam by way of RNAcentral.